CUGUGAAUCUUUUGUAAAUGAUGCUGAAAUGCUAGAUAUUAAUACAAAGAAAGGCUCUGUCGAUAAAAAUACAUGCUUU
Non-coding RNA from Nylanderia fulva, 79 nucleotides. The record is from RefSeq and is a predicted model, not a curated record. Lineage: Eukaryota; Metazoa; Arthropoda; Insecta; Hymenoptera; Formicidae.